Molecule: transfer RNA, 74 nt
Filed under: Coxiellaceae bacterium
Lineage: Bacteria; Pseudomonadati; Pseudomonadota; Gammaproteobacteria; Legionellales; Coxiellaceae
Description: tRNA-Pro
Rfam family: tRNA
About the family: Transfer RNA (tRNA) molecules are approximately 80 nucleotides in length. Their secondary structure includes four short double-helical elements and three loops (D, anti-codon, and T loops).
Source: RNAcentral
CGGGGCGUGGCUCAGCUUGGUAGAGCACUGCUUUCGGGAAGCAGUUGUCGGAGGUUCAAAUCCUCUCGCCCCGA